GGGGAUUCAACCCGCUGUGCGUGUGUGCUCCAGGAAACCGGAUCCGUCGGAACGGCUCCUGGAGUGGCGUGCGUGCAACGGGCGCACUUUCCCCGGGCAGAGCGCCACGACCGGUUCAUCGGCCGCCUGAAGCCCGAUGGUAAGGUAGCUUGUCUUCGGACGAGUGUUAUAGACCGUCGAGGUAUUGGUCGGCCGGAGGAUCGAGGUAUGCCGCCGCUCCCGCCCUAUGGCUCGAGGGAUCGGCUCGCGUUCGGGGUUCGACUCGGGUGGACUGCUUGCAGUGCUCUCGGACUGCCUCGGGCACGGGACCGUCUCCUGUCGAGCUGGAGCGAAUGGUCAGUGGCGUCCUGGUCGGCCCUCCAUCCGACCCGUCUUGAAACACGGACCAAGGAGUCUAACAUGUGCGCGAGUCAUGGGGUUCUACGAAACCUAAAGGCACAAUGAAGGUGAAGGGCCAGGUAGCUGGUCCGAGGUGGGAUCCCGUCCUUAGGGGCGGGCGCACCACCGGCCCGUCUCGACUGCUUCGUCGGUGAGGCGGAGCAAGAGCGUACAC
This 553-nucleotide ribosomal RNA is filed under the name Terebratulina septentrionalis. Its description in RNAcentral is "LSU rRNA". The stretch from base 385 to 553 matches the Rfam family "Eukaryotic large subunit ribosomal RNA", at positions 665 to 807 of the family's 3401-position model. Lineage: Eukaryota; Metazoa; Brachiopoda; Rhynchonellata; Terebratulida; Cancellothyrididae. The record is from RNAcentral.